RNAcentral lists this long non-coding RNA (3723 nucleotides) under Gossypium raimondii (Peruvian cotton). RNAcentral describes it as "long non-coding RNA (GRAI_LNC004871)". The record is from RNAcentral. Lineage: Eukaryota; Viridiplantae; Streptophyta; Magnoliopsida; Malvales; Malvaceae.
UAAAAACGUAUCUCUUUUCUGAGUUUUAACUCUGAAAACCAGAAAUUCAUUGUAGUCGAUUUAGAUAAUUUUGUAGUUUCAUUUUAGACUUGGAAGAUACUGACGAGAUUAUAAAAAAAAAAUAAGACAAGUCCAAAACAGAUUACAAAUCCAAAUGAUUAAAUUGUAGUUAUCUCAGUGCAAAAUAAUCCGAGCUCCUGCAUGCCGUUCAAUCCUAAAUUAGAUGUCUUCUUGACAAAUAAAAGUAAGAUAAAUGGUGGGUCACUAAGCAUCGCGUAUAACCAAACUCAAAUAAAAAUAAACAGAGCAUAAUAUAUAGAUCAUUGAAACACAAGCAUUUGAUAACAGUUGUAUGACCAGUACGGAACAGAUCUAGAGUAUCACAGAGAUUUCAACAGAGGUAGUACAAUAGAACAAAGCAAAACAGAACAGAGUAGAACAACGUAAUUCAAACAGAACAGAACCAAAUCGAGCAGAACAAAACAUAAUGGAACAGAGCAGAGCAAUGCUGAACAGAACAGAGCAUGCAUAUUUAUGCAAAUGCAGUAUUUUUCAAACAGAUCAGAAUGCAGAUUUAUCAAAAACAUCCUACCCAACUCCACUACACAUGGAAAUAGAGUUUCCCAUAACUCGUCUAGUCAGAUCACACCAAUAGAUAACUGUGGACAGUGCCACCAGUAUUUUGCAGUUAAAACUGCCAAAUUGAAUACAUAUGGUCAAGCCACUAUAGUACAGUCGAAUUGCCAGAAUAGAAGUGUGGAUAAACCAUCAGAUAAUACAGAUCAUUAAACUGCCAGAAACUUCCUCUUUUUACAUCAGCCCAAGUCUCAUGCAAUGUGUCAUAACAUGCUUAUGCAGAAUCAGAAUAAUGAACAUGUAAGUCAUGCUAUCACUUAAUAACAGAAUUAGUAAAUAUGGGAGUCCAUGUUUUUUAAAGCAGACUUAUCAAACAGACUUAUCAAACCUCAACAGACCAUAUCAGAUUUGCCAUGAAGUCACAUGCACGGUUAUAAAUCAGAAUCAGUAACAAUCAAUCUAACAUGUUCAGAUAUCGUAUAUUCCUCAUCAACAGAGUAACGUAGAGGCGUACCAACAAACUUAACAAAAUACAGAUCGUACCUAGAUAAUUAUCACACAUAGACAAUAACACAUUACGUUUUGAAAGAUCCUGUAACACCCCUUAACCGUAUCCAACACCGGAAUAGGGUACGAGGCAUUACCAAAACACAUACACUUGUAAACGUAUUUAACCGAGUUAUAAAAUUUCAUCAAAAUUAAAACUUUCAAAAUAAUUAACAUGUUUCUAUAACUUUUCACAAUAUAUCCUCAAAAUAUUAUAAUCAUAAUAAUUAGGGCCUGCGAGACCCGAUACAUACUCAUGCAAUUUAAUGCUUCAUUUCCAUUUCAUUCAAUUCGCAAUUUCUCAUGCUCAUAAUUUAAAUCAUAUCACUAGCAAUUUCCAUUUAAUUCACGUACAAUUCAAUGACAUCAAAUUCAAAACUAAUACGUAUUUACCAUUUAACUCAAUGUUUAUUGAUUAUACCAUUCAAUAACACAUUUAUAAAAUUCUCAAUUUAGCAAUGAAAAUAUCACUUUAGUUUGAAUAACAACAUCGUCCUGAUAUAAAUACACUACCACUUAUCCAUUUACUUUAAUUCUUUCGGGCCCAUUUGUCACUUACCAUCCUUAAUCAAAUUAGGGAACGGUCACGGAAAAUUGAGUACUUCACUUUCACUUUGCCAUAGUAUAACUAUGGUCUUACGUAUGAUCACUUAUCACUUGUCCCUGAUCAGAUAAGUGUAGCCACCUAUCACUUUGUUUCUUGAUCAGAUAAGUGUAGCCACUUAUCACUUUGUUUCUUGAUCAGAUAAGUGUAGCCACUUAUCACUUUGUUUCUUGAUCAGAUAAGUAUAGCCGAAGCUAUCACUUAUCACUUUCCUUAUCACUUUUCACUUGUCACUUGAUCAGAUAAGUGUAGCCGAAGCUAUCACUUAUCACUUUCCACUUUCCACUUGUCACUUGAUCAGAUAAGUGUAGCUGAAGCUAUCACUUAUCACUUUGUCACUUGAUCAGAUAAGUAUAGCCGAAGCUAUUACUGAAGCUAUUACUUAUCACUUCACUUGUCACUUGAUCAGAUAAGUGUAGCUAAAGCUACCACUUAUCACUUUGUCACUUGAUCAGAUAAGUAUAGCCGAAGCUAUUACUUAUCACUUUCCACUUGUCACUUGAUCAGAUAAGUGUAGCUAAAGCUACCACUUAUCACUUUGUCACUUGAUCAGAAGUACUCAAAUCCGACGUUCCACUUAAUUUGAUCAUUUAUUCAUAUAUCAGGCUUACCAACAUGUGUUAAUUCAUAAACCAUUCAUGGUAUUAUUUCAUGCCAAAUCAUAUACUGAAUAUACCAUACACACAUACUAUGAAACUUUAUUUUCACACAUGAGCUUAAACCAUGACCAAUAAUGCACAAAAAUAAGCAUCAUUCAUAUUUCAUCGUUUAUGAGUUAUAAUCAAACAUAUGACCAUUUAUACACGAAUCAUUCAUAUAUUUCCCAAUUUUCCUCCUCCUCCUCUCCAUUCCACAUCCUUAAUGUGUAUAACACACUUAAACAACAUUAACCAUAAUUUCAAUAUUCACUAACAUGUAUAUUCAAAGCUGUUUAUCCGAGUCAGAGUCACUAAAUUAUUUUUAUCCGGAGCUACAGAGCUCCAAAUUAAGAUCCGUUAAUUUUCCCUGAAACUAGACUCACAUAUCUUCAUACCAUAAAAUUUUCAUAAUUUUUGGUUCAGCCAAAUAGUACAGUUUAUUCUUUAAAGUUUCCCCUGUUUCGCUGUCUGACAGUUCCGACCACUCUUCACUAAAAAUUAAUUAUCUCAUUGUACAGAAUUCGGAUGAUGUUUUAGCUUGUUUCUUCUAAAAAAUAGACUCAUUAAGGAUUCUAACCAUAUAAACUAUAACUCAUAAUCAUUUUUUUACAAUUUUUAAUGAUUUUCCAAAGUCAGAACAGGGGAACCCGAAUUCAUUCUGACCUUGUCUCACAAAAUCUAUUAUAUCUCAUGAUUUACAAUUCCAUUGCUCACAUCAUUUCUUUUAUAAGAAACUAGACUCAAUAAGCUUUAGUUUCAUAUUUUAUUCAUCCUCUAAUUCAAUCUCUACAAUUUUUGGUGAUUUUUCAAAGUUACACUACUGCUGCUGUCCAAAACUGCUUUAGUGCAAAAUGUUGAUUUCCAUUUUGCCCCAAAUUUCACAGUUUAUACAAUUCGGUCCUUUCUCAAUUAACCCCUCAAUUAAUCUAAUUUUCUCAAUUAGUACUUUACUAGACAUUAUAAGUUGUUACACAACUAUUGGAAUUCAGAAUUUCCACAUAUAACUCUAUCUUCAAACUCUUUUACUAUUAGGUCCCAAAUAUUCACUUUCUAUUCAAUUCUUUCAAUAAAAUCAGCAUAUGAACAAUUUAAAGCUCUAAUUUCAUGCUAAAUCAUCAUAUACUUCCAGNNNNNNNNNNNNNNNNNNNNNNNNNNNNNNNNNNNNNNNNNNNNNNNNNNNNNNNNNNNNNNNNNNNNNNNNNNNNNNNNNNNNNNNNNNNNNNNNNNNNGUUGUAAAAGUCAUAAAAAUACAAAAAUUUCAAGAAAUAGUCAAGAAUUGAACUUACUUGUAAUAAAAAUAUGAAGAACCAGCUUGAAGAAGCCCUUCCAUGGUGUUUUAGCUGAUGAGAAUUCAGAAAA